UCCUGGGUGGCUUAGGUGGUAAAGAACCUGCCUGCAACGCAGGAGACACAGGUUCGAUCCCUGGGUUGGGAA
RNAcentral lists this transfer RNA (72 nucleotides) under Bos taurus (domestic cattle). It matches the Rfam family "tRNA". From Rfam's summary of the family: Transfer RNA (tRNA) molecules are approximately 80 nucleotides in length. The record is from Rfam by way of RNAcentral. RNAcentral also lists the same sequence under 5 other names. Lineage: Eukaryota; Metazoa; Chordata; Mammalia; Artiodactyla; Bovidae.